This is a long non-coding RNA of Lineus longissimus, 4357 nucleotides long. RefSeq lists it as uncharacterized. The record is from RefSeq and is a predicted model, not a curated record. The transcript has 6 exons. Lineage: Eukaryota; Metazoa; Nemertea; Pilidiophora; Heteronemertea; Lineidae.
AGUUAGGAUGAUGCCAUCAUGGCAGUCGACCCAAUAGACGCUGACGCAGUAUAGAAAAUAGGUGGGGAGAAUGUGGGAUGGAAACUUAACACAACAGGAGGAUAGAUACUUGUGCCCGGAGAUAAGCAUGAUGAUCCCAAGACCCAAGUGUAGGAUUUGAAUUCAAAAAGAUCUUAGCCGACCCCUUUCCUGAGAUAUUAUUUACCUGCAUGCUCUGUAGUCUGUCUCUCUGCUCUUACUCUAAGCUCAGCUUGUCCAUUAGUGCGAGUGAAGAGGUGAAACUAUCCAGAUCCAUCAUCAACAAGCAGUUAUUUACAAGUAUGAAUUAAUGAUGUUUUAUUUAAAUCCAGUCGAUCGGCAGUAAAGAGGUUAAAUGUUCAAGAUUAAUCAGCAGCUAGCCCAUGUCAACGGCCAUCAACUAUUUACAACUCAAGUUACAUUUUACCAGAUCCAUCAAUAGCCAUCAGCAGUUAUUUACAAGAAUGAAUUCGUAAGAAAUCCAGUCGACCGGCAGUGAAGAGGUAGUGUACCAAGAUUAAUCACGGCCAUCAAAUAUAUACAACUCCUGUUUCGGGUUACAUAUUUACAGUCCAAUCUAAAAUAAUAACAGAACUUUGCCAAACAGUGAAGAGAUGAAUUUCUAAAAUCAAUCAACGUCCAUGGUCUAUCUGAAAUGAGAAAAAGAACUGGGUAAACAUAAAUAAAUCAGCCGGUUAGUAGAAGAAGCCCCUUUCCCCGAGGCCAUGAUGAGCCCACGAUAAUGAUUUUAGUAGCCUAUUGUCUGUGAUUGUUGAGAAUAGAAUCUCAGAUCAUCUAUUCUUUAGAUUUAGGGAGAUGGUUGACGACUAUUAGGCUACUAUCGCUAUGAAAUUUUCAAAGGAUUACGAUGUUAUACCUGACUUGGAGUGUAUUACUCCAUGUACCUGAUAACCAGGCAACUUACCAAUGAAUUUAUACUUUAUAGUUUUUUACACUGGAAAAUGAUUAAAAUCAUUUUCCAGUGUAUUAACAGAAUUUACAUGAAAAAGUUACAACACUUUUUUCUGAAGCACCACACGCUGAUUACCAGUGGCACUGUCGUUUCCCUGAAAAUAAAAGAAAAAAUUUGUGCAUUGGUUUAGUUUUGAGACGGUCCCUAAAAUCGUGCAUUGGUUUAGUUUUGAGACGGUCCCUAAAAUCGUGUAUUGGUUUAGUUUUGAGACGGUCCCUAUAACAAUCUUGAUACUAGAGGCGCUGGUGUCGUUUGAUGAUGUCAUUUUCGUAAAUUCGGCAGUCUUCGCGUGUCCUAAUGUAUGUUCGGACAUGGUCGAGAUUUAUAAGGUCGAAUUUAAAAUCUAGAAGCUAUUUUGAUUGGUUAAGGAAAGGAGCCGGUGACCUUGCGUCCCAGCGUCCGCACGCGGCAUCGGAUGGCAGCAUGAGCUUUAAGAUGCCGUCCUCGUUCCUCACAGCACACACCAGAAGAUUAUAGACCAUGUCAUCUUAUUGUGCCAAUCCAUGAUUAUGAUAAGUAUUAAUGAUUAGUCUUUAAAAUUUUAUACACCUUUUCAUUUUUCGUCGUCCGCUUCUUCAGAGCUUGCAAGACGUUCGACGUUCAUUCAUGCACAUGUGCGAUGUGGGGCAUAUGUCAGAUGUGUAUUGCACGCAAUGCAUGGCGCGCGACAUGGACUGUCAGUCAUGCUGUCGGCUGUGUGCAUGUGUGGUUGGCCAAGGCCAUGGCCCACAUCAUGACAUGGGGAUGGGGGUCAAGACACUACGAUGGAGAAAUGUAGGGACUGGAGCUGGUAGGGAGGAUUGAUCAAGAAUGACAAGCAUGACAAGGAGGCUGUGUCAGAUUAGUGCCUUGGUCGAAGUUGGACUUCAUGACUCAUUGACUGAGUGGUCAUCAUGACUAUCUCGGUUUUUACUUUUGCCUUUCCCUUUGGUGGGGUUUGUCAGUGCCUUGGCUGGGGGAACAUGAUUCCGUGGCCUGUGAGUGUGAUUUGUGCAAUAGGGGAGGCCUGAGUCACUAAAUGUAACGCCUCCGUUUCAUAAAAGUAGCCUAUUACAAAUAGGCCUUAAAUACAAUGUGGGCCUACUCGUAAGUCGUAUGAAAAAUGUAGGCCUCGGACUACUUCUCAAUCUGUAACGUCGUACGAUAUUGUAUCGCCACUUUUUACAGGGGUCUAGCGUCAUGACGUAAAUACUAAAUGGCCUAGCCUACCGCAACCUAUGAAUAUAAGUAAAUUAAGACCUAUGCUAAGUGACUUGCCUUCUUCUGCUUGAAAUCCCAGUGAUUUUCUUCCUCACAUUCACUGUCGACAUUCUCCGUUCCAGGAUCGAGGUCGAGCAGGAAUCCCAUCUCCUGUUCAUUUGCAUCUUCAGUUGUACCGGUAGGAAUAUGGUCUUCUACUAUUGAGAAGCAGUUGACUGGCCCACAGUCAAUUAGACCAACAUCAUCAUUAUCAUCAUCAUCAUCUUCCUCCUGAACGUUGAUUGGGGCCUGCAAAUGGAAAGUGUGACUGACAUCAACCAAUCUGGACCGUGGACUGGAGAAGAAUUUGAGUGGUGCUAGAAAUGCUUGGAUGGUCCCUCCCGGCUUGACAAUCCAUUGUUCAUUUGCAUAUAUUGGCCGUUGAUGCCGCAACUUCAAUCCCCGGGAGUCCAUCACAAAAAUCCGAUUCAUUUUCUGCAAUAGAAUGUAAUCUAAUUAAUUUUAAAGGAAUUAAUCACAAGGAAUUGGGUUUCUUGCUGAAGUGCGCUCCCUUGCUAACUUGAAUCAGAAGGUUGAUGAGAGACAGGGCCAUGUACCGCACCGAAUGAUUGAAGUACAACGUCAAUGACUGAGGAACAGGAAGUCGGUUAGAGACGAUCAUGUCCCCCACCGAACUAUUGACAUACAAAAAUGAUUGAGAAGAAGAGUUUUGAUUUGGAAUGGAAGAAACAAUGAAGUGACUGAGGAAGUCGGUUAGAGACGGCCAUGUCCCCCACCGAACGCUUGGAAUACAACAGUGUUUGAGAAGAAGAGUUUUUGUUUGGAAGAAGCAAUGAAGUAGUGGUCUCAGUUCUGACAAUAUGACAGAGCCGGUCUUCAUUUACCAUCACAUGAGGGUGAAAGGCAAAGUCCGGAUCACCUCCAGAAUCUCCUGCUGUCUUGGCCCGCGACAGAGCAACGAACAGAGCGCCAGGAUUUCUAGACUCGAAAGCUCUUGUCCCGGGAUGAAUGACAAUGUAACGGUGAACCAUACUUACUAAUGCAGAAAAACUAUGGCUGAGAUGAUCGGACUGCAAUCAUGAAGUUACAUCCAUGGAGACAGGAUUUGGACAGAAGGUCUCAUUCGUGCGAAAGGAAACGAAACGAAAAGGCGCAGGAAUAACCCGAAUGUGCCAACCACAAGCUUUCACCAUCAAACACAUUAUUCAAGAUGGGUCCCAAGGAUUCCUUAUUUUCAAGGAUGUGACUAUAGGAUGUAAGAUAUCACAGCACAUUCAACAGGAUUUCCCAGAUAAGGUGGACGCAUCCAUGGGUGACUGUUUGUGUGCAGUGCCAGUGGUAACUUGCAUGAUGAAAUUUGGGUCACAUCAAUGGAGACAUGGGAUACUGUCUUCAGGAUUACAGUGUCACAUCCUGAGACAACCAUCAGUGGUGAUUGCAGACUACCUUCGAAAUUGUAACGUCACAUCAAGAGACGACCAUAUUUGGUAGCUCUGAGUGGUGACAGCAGAUAUCUUUAAAACUGCUGUAGAUAUGGCUGUCUUCUGGUUUUGUAGGGGGAGAGGUCUCAUAUUUAUUUUUUAACGAUUCCUUGUGAUGGCCAUCGGUGAGGAAAAUCUUCUUACCAAGGAUAUUACAUGUUUUAUUGUGAACUGAACAUUUUUUGGGUUCAACUUAAUCAAUUUGCAAAAUGAAUCAAUAUUAUAAUUAUAAGCAACAAAAUUUCACUUAGUGAUAAUCACACGUUGCACACAUUAGCCUACAGCUGCUCCUGCAGUUUUGAGAAAUGUAUGCAACUGCAAGCAAAAUGUCAAGUGUUGCAGUAUAAGGUAGGCAAUCGCUCACAACACCUUCCUCAAAUAUUUUCUAGGUGUACUUCAUUCACCCACAGUUGAAUAUUCCCUGUCUUCAGGGAUGUGACGUCACAUCCAGAGACGCAUAUUGCAUCCUUUGACAGUGGGGAAAACAAAUUAUUUUGGGAGAUAUUGAGCGGUAUGUGCUUAAUUUGGUUCUGCUGAAGGACGAGAGUUGGUUCUGUUGAUGAUGCAAGGUCUGGCAUGGCAUGGGGAGGACAAUUUUCAAUUCAAGGACAAGAAAUAAUGUUGCAUUGCAUGUUAUUUUUGCAGUGAUUGUUACAAGGCAAUAAAAAUGAUCGUCAUACUGGUA